GUGGGGAAUAUUGGACAAUGGGGGGAACCCUGAUCCAGCCAUGCCGCGUGUGUGAAGAAGGCCUUUUGGUUGUAAAGCACUUUAAGCGAGGAGGAGGCUACCGAGAUUAAUACUCUUGGAUAGUGGACGUUACUCGCAGAAUAAGCACCGGCUAACUCUGUGCCAGCAGCCGCGGUAAUACAGAGGGUGCAAGCGUUAAUCGGAUUUACUGGGCGUAAAGCGAGCGUAGGUGGUCAAUUAAGUAAAAUGUGAAAUCCCCGAGCUUAACUUGGGAAUUGCAUUCGAUACUGGUUGGCUAGAGUAUGGGAGAGGAUGGUAGAAUUCCAGGUGUAGCGGUGAAAUGCGAAGAGAUCUGGAGGAAUACCGAUGGCGAAGGCAGCCAUCUGGCCUAAUACUGACACUGAGGUGCGAAAGCAUGGGGAGCAAACAGGAUUAGAAACCCCAGUAGUCC
RNAcentral lists this ribosomal RNA (451 nucleotides) under uncultured bacterium. RNAcentral's name for it is "partial 16S ribosomal RNA". It matches the Rfam family "Bacterial small subunit ribosomal RNA", at positions 354 to 796 of the family's 1533-position model. The record is from RNAcentral.